GGGGUUGUGGCUCAAUGGUAGAGCACUUGCCUAGCAUGUGUGAGGCACUGGGUUCAAUCCUCAGCACCA
This 69-nucleotide transfer RNA is filed under the name Sciurus carolinensis (gray squirrel). It matches the Rfam family "tRNA". Rfam says of the family: Transfer RNA (tRNA) molecules are approximately 80 nucleotides in length. Their secondary structure includes four short double-helical elements and three loops (D, anti-codon, and T loops). The record is from Rfam by way of RNAcentral. Lineage: Eukaryota; Metazoa; Chordata; Mammalia; Rodentia; Sciuridae. RNAcentral also lists the same sequence under 2 other names.